CAACUUCGCUGUUGUAGCAGGACGUCCGCGACGAAACAGAUCAACGGUGCCAUAUGCUGGCAUGAGACUCACGAGCUGAGAACCCCGAUUCUGCAUAUACAGUAGUGAAAGGAAGGGGGUGCCAGGGGAUCCAGGGAAAGGGAACCAAACUCUUCUGUUCACAGAGCCGGUCACUCACACGUCCCAGAUCAAACUCCAUGCUGACGCGCCUCACAAACACACUCAUCACUCAACAAAGGUCCAAGGUGAACAGCAGGAAUCCGACUCAGCCACCACCUUAAGCGGUGACCAAUCAGAUGAAGAUGAUGCGCAGCAGGUGAGCUGAUUAUCAGCAGCUCUCAGCAUCACCUUGGAGCACGUGCACCUGAAUGAAACCAAACCAGUCUUUGUUGCCAAAAACAAAAGGACACAAAUGCCAUGAAACAAACACGUUUAUAAUUACCUUGUGAAGCAAACAUUGAUGAUGACAUGUUAAUACUUUCUGUAAAAUAAAUAAAUUUUUUA
Oreochromis niloticus (Nile tilapia) is the source of this 504-nucleotide long non-coding RNA. RefSeq lists it as uncharacterized. The transcript is spliced from 3 exons. The record is from RefSeq and is a predicted model, not a curated record. NCBI's taxonomy places the organism in Eukaryota, Metazoa, Chordata, Actinopteri, Cichliformes, Cichlidae.